Molecule: long non-coding RNA, 456 nt
Organism: Pyrgilauda ruficollis (rufous-necked snowfinch)
Lineage: Eukaryota; Metazoa; Chordata; Aves; Passeriformes; Passeridae
Exons: 3
Source: RefSeq, a predicted model, not a curated record
GUAUACUGAAAGGGGCCUGAAACAGAUACCCUGUAAUUUACAUCCCUGCGUUAGUGCCUCGGUGAGGAAAGGCGGCCUUUGCUCCAAAUUGGCAUGUCCUCUGCCGGCACUGAGGAGAACUGUACCGGAGAAGAUGUAGGACCUGUGUCAGUGUACUUGAUCCCUGGAUUUCAUCACACAUGACUUCACUGCAACUGCUUUGCUUUACCCCUUGCUCAACAACAGAGGCUUUUGUACUGGUGUUUGGAAAAGUGCACCUGCUGAAGCAGCCCAGUCCGUGGUUGUGGUGGUUAUAAAGCUUCAGCAUACCUGCCAGUAAAGGCUCCCUUGCCAUUUUCACACAUACUAUGGAAUAAAAGAAACAUAUCACAAUGCCACAGAAGCUUUUCUCCUUCACUCCAUGUUUUCAUCAUCAGUGAACAUCCUUUGGAUCAAAGAUUGAUCCCAGGAAAAGGU